This 1401-nucleotide ribosomal RNA is filed under the name uncultured bacterium. RNAcentral describes it as "partial 16S ribosomal RNA". It matches the Rfam family "Bacterial small subunit ribosomal RNA". The record is from RNAcentral.
UUAGAGUUUGAUCCUGGCUCAGGAUGAACGCUAGCGGCAGGCUUAACACAUGCAAGUCGAGGGGCAGCAUGUCCAGCAAUGGAUGAUGGCGACCGGCGGAAGGGUGCGUAACGCGUGAGCAACAUGCCCUAUACAGGGAGAUACACCAGGGAAACUUGGUCUAAUAUCCCAUAGCAUUCAUUGAAGGCAUCUUUAAUGAAUUAAAGCUUCGGUGGUAUAGGAUUGGCUCGCGUGACAUUAGCCAGAUGGUGAGGUAACGGCUCACCAUAGCAAUGAUGUCUAGGGGUUUUGAGAGGAAGGCCCCCCACACUGGGACUGAGACACGGCCCAGACUCCUACGGGAGGCAGCAGUGAGGAAUAUUGGACAAUGGAUGGAAAUCUGAUCCAGCCAUGCCGCGUGCAGGAAGACGGCCUUAUGGGUUGUAAACUGCUUUUAUACGGGAGCAAUAAGGGUUACGAGUAAUCCGAUGAGAGUACUGUAUGAAUAAGGAUCGGCUAACUCCGUGCCAGCAGCCGCGGUAAUACGGAGGAUCCGAGCGUUAUCCGGAAUUAUUGGGUUUAAAGGGUGCGUAGGCGGUCAUUUAAGUCAGCGGUGAAAUUUUGCAGCUUAACUGUAACAGUGCCGUUGAUACUGUUUGGCUAGGAUUUGGUUGUAGUGUGCGGAAUGUGUGGUGUAGCGGUGAAAUGCUUAGAUAUCACACAGAACACCGAUUGCGAAGGCAGCACACUAAGUCAUUAUUGGCGCUGAGGCACGAAAGUGUGGGGAUCAAACAGGAUUAGAUACCCUGGUAGUCCACACUGUAAACGAUGAUAACUCGCUGUCGGCGAUACACAGUCGGUGGCCAAGCGAAAGCAUUAAGUUAUCCACCUGGGGAGUACGACCGCAAGGUUGAAACUCAAAGGAAUUGACGGGGGCCCGCACAAGCGGAGGAACAUGUGGUUUAAUUCGAUGAUACGCGAGGAACCUUACCCGGUCUUGACAUCCGUAGGAUCCUUCAGAGAUGAGGGAGUGCCUUUCGGGGAACUACGAGACAGGUGCUGCAUGGCUGUCGUCAGCUCGUGUCGUGAGAUGUUGGGUUAAGUCCCGCAACGAGCGCAACCCCUGCAUCCAGUUGCCAUCAUUAGGUUGGGGACUCUGGAUGGACCACUGCGGUAACAACGCAGAGGAAGGUGGGGACGACGUCAAGCAAUCAUGGUCCUUACGACCGGGGCUACACACGUGCUACAAUGGUAGUUACAGAGGGUUGCGAAGCCGUAAGGUGGAGCUAAUCUCAUAAAAGCUACGCAAGUUCGGAAUGAGGUCUGCAACUCGACCUCAUGAAGCUGGAAUCGCUAGUAAUCGCGCAACAUCAUGGUGCGGUGAAUAAAAAGCCCGCGGCCUUGCACUCACCGCCCGUCAAG